This 497-nucleotide ribosomal RNA is filed under the name uncultured bacterium. RNAcentral describes it as "partial 16S ribosomal RNA". It matches the Rfam family "Bacterial small subunit ribosomal RNA", at positions 28 to 507 of the family's 1533-position model. The record is from RNAcentral.
GAUGAACGCUGGCGGCGUGCCUAAUACAUGCAAGUCGAGCGAACGGACUAGAAGCUUGCUUCUCUGAUGUUAGCGGCGGACGGGUGAGUAACACGUGGAUAACCUACCUAUAAGACUGGGAUAACUUCGGGAAACCGGAGCUAAUACCGGAUAAUAUUUUGAACCGCAUGGUUCAAAAGUGAAAGACGGUCUUGCUGUCACUUAUAGAUGGAUCCGCGCUGCAUUAGCUAGUUGGUAAGGUAACGGCUUACCAAGGCAACGAUGCAUAGCCGACCUGAGAGGGUGUUCGGCCACACUGGAACUGAGACACGGUCCAGACUCCUACGGGAGGCAGCAGUAGGGAAUCUUCCGCAAUGGGCGAAAGCCUGACGGAGCAACGCCGCGUGAGUGAUGAAGGUCUUCGGAUCGUAAAACUCUGUUAUUAGGGAAGAACAUAUGUGUAAGUAACUGUGCACAUCUUGACGGUACCUAAUCAGAAAGCCACGGCUAACUACGUG